UCUCUCUCUCUCUCUCUCUCUCUCUCUCUCUCUCUCUCUGUGUGUGUGUGUGUGUGUGUGUGAGAGAGAGAGAGAGAGAGAGAGAGAGAUAGAGAGAGAGAGA
Non-coding RNA from Podarcis lilfordi (Lilford's wall lizard), 103 nucleotides. The record is from the annotation of a GenBank genome assembly. NCBI's taxonomy places the organism in Eukaryota, Metazoa, Chordata, Lepidosauria, Squamata, Lacertidae.